This 85-nucleotide transfer RNA is filed under the name Felis catus (domestic cat). It matches the Rfam family "tRNA". From Rfam's summary of the family: Transfer RNA (tRNA) molecules are approximately 80 nucleotides in length. Their secondary structure includes four short double-helical elements and three loops (D, anti-codon, and T loops). Lineage: Eukaryota; Metazoa; Chordata; Mammalia; Carnivora; Felidae. The record is from Rfam by way of RNAcentral.
GCCUGGGUGGCUCAGUUGGUUGGGCAUCUGACUUUGGCUCAGGUCAUGAUUUCACAGUUCGUGAGUUCAAACCUCAUAUCAGGCU